Molecule: ribosomal RNA, 428 nt
Filed under: uncultured bacterium
Lineage: Bacteria
Description: bacterial SSU rRNA
Rfam family: Bacterial small subunit ribosomal RNA
Source: RNAcentral
GUGGGGAAUAUUGGGCAAUGGGCGAAAGCCUGACCCAGCAACGCCGCGUGAAGGAAGAAGGCUUUCGGGUUGUAAACUUCUUUUAUCAGGGACGAAGGAUGUGACGGUACCUGAUGAAUAAGCCACGGCUAACUACGUGCCAGCAGCCGCGGUAAUACGUAGGUGGCAAGCGUUGUCCGGAUUUACUGGGUGUAAAGGGCGCGUAGGCGGAGAGACAAGUCAGAUGUGAAAUCUAUGGGCUUAACCCAUAAACUGCAUUUGAAACUAUCUCCCUUGAGUGAUGGAGAGGCAAGCGGAAUUCCUAGUGUAGCGGUGAAAUGCGUAGAUAUUAGGAGGAACACCAGUGGCGAAGGCGGCUUGCUGGACAUUAACUGACGCUGAGGCGCGAAAGCGUGGGGAGCAAACAGGAUUAGAAACCCGUGUAGUCC